RNAcentral lists this ribosomal RNA (721 nucleotides) under uncultured bacterium. Its description in RNAcentral is "bacterial SSU rRNA". It matches the Rfam family "Bacterial small subunit ribosomal RNA", at positions 668 to 1390 of the family's 1533-position model. The record is from RNAcentral.
UCCACGUGUAGCAGCGAAAUGCGUAGAGAUGUGGAGGAAUACCGAUGGCGAAGGCAGCCUCCUGGGAUAACACUGACGUUCAUGCCCGAAAGCGUGGGUAGCAAACAGGAUUAGAUACCCUGGUAGUCCACGCCCUAAACGAUGUCGAUUAGCUGUUGGGCAGCAUGACUGCUUAGUAGCGAAGCUAACGCGUGAAAUCGACCGCCUGGGGAGUACGGUCGCAAGAUUAAAACUCAAAGGAAUUGACGGGGACCCGCACAAGCGGUGGAUGAUGUGGAUUAUUUCGAUGCAACGCGAAGAACCUUACCUGGUCUUGACAUGUACGGAACCCUCCAGAGACGGAGGGGUGCCUUCGGGAGCCGUAACACAGGUGCUGCAUGGCUGUCGUCAGCUCGUGUCGUGAGAUGUUGGGUUAAGUCCCGCAACGAGCGCAACCCUUGUCAUUAGUUGCCAUCAUUAAGUUGGGCACUCUAAUGAGACUGCCGGUGACAAGCCGGAGGAAGGUGGGGAUGACGUCAAGUCCUCAUGGCCCUUAUGACCAGGGCUUCACACGUCAUACAAUGGUCGGUACAGAGGGUAGCCAAGCCGCGAGGUGGAGCCAAUCUCACAAAACCGAUCGUAGUCCGGAUUGCACUCUGCAACUCGAGUGCAUGAAGUCGGAAUCGCUAGUAAUCGCAGGUCAGCAUACUGCGGUGAAUACGUUCCCGGGUCUUGUACACAC